AUGGCUCAGGAUGAACGCUAGCUACAGGCUUAACACAUGCAAGUCGAGGGGCAGCAUUGGAGUAGCAAUACUUCAGAUGGCGACCGGCGCACGGGUGAGUAACACGUAUCCAACCUGCCGCUUACUCGGGGAUAGCCUUUCGAAAGAAAGAUUAAUACCCGAUGGUAUAAAGAGUUCGCAUGUUCUCUUUAUUAAAGAAUUUCGGUAAGCGAUGGGGAUGCGUUCCAUUAGAUAGUUGGCGGGGUAACGGCCCACCAAGUCUACGAUGGAUAGGGGUUCUGAGAGGAAGGUCCCCCACAUUGGAACUGAGACACGGUCCAAACUCCUACGGGAGGCAGCAGUGAGGAAUAUUGGUCAAUGGACGAGAGUCUGAACCAGCCAAGUAGCGUGAAGGAUGACUGCCCUAUGGGUUGUAAACUUCUUUUAUAAGGGAAUAAAGUGAGGGACGUGUCCCUUUUUGUAUGUACCUUAUGAAUAAGGAUCGGCUAACUCCGUGCCAGCAGCUGC
RNAcentral lists this ribosomal RNA (507 nucleotides) under uncultured bacterium. RNAcentral's name for it is "bacterial SSU rRNA". It matches the Rfam family "Bacterial small subunit ribosomal RNA", at positions 19 to 518 of the family's 1533-position model. The record is from RNAcentral.